This 460-nucleotide long non-coding RNA is filed under the name Setaria italica (foxtail millet). RNAcentral's name for it is "long non-coding RNA (SITA_LNC004729)". The record is from RNAcentral. Lineage: Eukaryota; Viridiplantae; Streptophyta; Magnoliopsida; Poales; Poaceae.
ACUACACCAUCCGUCGGAACCAAAUCCCGUAACUGCGCUGAGCAGGUUGCACAUGAACAAGAGACAGGAGUCUACACAGGCGGGGCCUAGCUAUAACCUAGGAGGAGGUGAACUUGGUGACGGCCUUGGUGCCCUCGGAGACGGCGUGCUUGGCGAGCUCCCCGGGGAGGACGAGGCGGACCGAGGUCUGGAUCUCGCGGGAGGUGAUGGUGGGCUUCUUGUUGUACCGCGCGAGCUUGGCCGCCUCCGCCGCCAGCUUCUCGAAGAUGUCGUUGAUGAACGAGUUCAUGAUGGACAUGGCCUUGGAGGAGAUGCCGAUGUCGGGGUGCACCUGCUUCAGCACCUUGAAGAUGUAGAUCUUGUAGGUCUCCACGCUCUUCUUCGCCUUCUUCUUGCCCUUCUUCUCGCCGUCCUUGCCGGCGGACUUGCCGGCCGGCAGCCGCUUCUCGGCCUUGGGCUU